UAAUUUUUGACCUCAAAACCCCCUAUCUGAGGUCUCUUCCGAGAUAUCAGAUAAAUAAGAAUAUCACAUUUUCUGAAGCUACACUUUCUUCCACUCUUUUUAUUUAUGAUAUAAGUGUGAUUGUUAUAACAUAUAUACUUCCCUGACUUCUUUAUGGUAUAAAUGAUCUCCAACUCAUUAAGCAAUUCACUCUAUUUUAAACAAAAAUAAAAACCUCUGAGAAAAAUAACAACUAAUACCAUGUCUUUAUAGCUGAACUAGAAGUUUGAAUCCUAAUAUAGCUUUUUGAGAGGAAGAUGAUAAAUUGAUUUGAAACAAUGAAGGAGAAGACAAGAAAGAGAAAAACAUACCCCAAAAAGUUCAGAUCCGAUGGUGAUAGCUUAUGAUUCGAAUUAAAUUUGUGUGGGAAUUGACGAAUUAUUCUAAGCCGAAGUUAACAAUCAAAGAUCGAGGUCUUUAGAUUUCAUAUAUGAAGAGGGAGAGAGAUAGGGAAAUCCAUUAAUGGAGUUGAUAGGGGCGGCGUCUAGGUUCCUUUAGGGUUGUUUAGAUGAGAGGAAAUAGCCUUAUGUAGUGUGAAAUGAA
This 582-nucleotide long non-coding RNA is filed under the name Solanum tuberosum (potato). Its description in RNAcentral is "long non-coding RNA (STUB_LNC007075)". The record is from RNAcentral. Lineage: Eukaryota; Viridiplantae; Streptophyta; Magnoliopsida; Solanales; Solanaceae.